RNAcentral lists this ribosomal RNA (253 nucleotides) under uncultured bacterium. RNAcentral's name for it is "partial 16S ribosomal RNA". It matches the Rfam family "Bacterial small subunit ribosomal RNA", at positions 524 to 776 of the family's 1533-position model. The record is from RNAcentral.
UACGAAGGGGGCUAGCGUUGUUCGGAAUUACUGGGCGUAAAGCGCACGUAGGCGGAUAUUUAAGUCAGGGGUGAAAUCCCGGGGCUCAACCCCGGAACUGCCUUUGAUACUGGGUAUCUCGAGUCCGAGAGAGGUGAGUGGAAUUCCGAGUGUAGAGGUGAAAUUCGUAGAUAUUCGGAGGAACACCAGUGGCGAAGGCGGCUCACUGGCCCGAUACUGACGCUGAUGCACGAAAGCGUGGGGAGCAAACAGG